GGGACGUCGCACGGACUGGGACGUGAUGUGUACCUGCACCCCGCUAAGGGGCCUGAGUGGAGUGCACGAUGUGCAGAGAGGGCCGAGCUGCUGGGGGGAUGGCGUUACUGCGAAUUCCUGCCUCCCCCACCAGGCUGGGGGCUGCUGGGCUGCGUCAUCCUGUUCCCAAUGCCCAGCCCAGGGCCUGGCACAGAGCAGCAUGAAGCUGCUACGUGGGAGACACCCCCAUGGCAAGGCACUGAAGGCCACCUCCAGCCAACAGCCACCAGGCAGGCCGGACCUGAGGCCCCUGGUCCAUCAGCCCUCGAGGAAGAGUCGUGUCCACCCCUGCAGGAGCUCGGGAGCAGACCCUUCCCCAGUCGAGCCUUCAGACCACGUCCCCGCCUCGGCCACAACUUGAUCGCGGCCUCGUGUGAGCCGCUGAAGCAGAGGAUCCAACCAAGAUGUAAAUUUCACCCCCAAACCCCACAAGGAACAGGGGAGUCUGAGACUUGGAAGAAUCGCUGGGAUGUGCAGCACACCUUCCCCUCUGAUCCGCUGGCUCUGUGGGCCCACCAGGGGGAGGAGACCCGCCAGUAACCUAAAUGCAAAUCGCCCUUGGCAGCAGC
RNAcentral lists this long non-coding RNA (608 nucleotides) under Equus caballus (horse). RNAcentral's name for it is "lncRNA (ENSECAG00000046008.1)". The record is from RNAcentral. Lineage: Eukaryota; Metazoa; Chordata; Mammalia; Perissodactyla; Equidae.